Molecule: non-coding RNA, 3260 nt
Organism: Rattus norvegicus (Norway rat)
Lineage: Eukaryota; Metazoa; Chordata; Mammalia; Rodentia; Muridae
Source: RefSeq, a predicted model, not a curated record
UUGCUUACUUUAAGGCCAUGAAGAAUAUGAGACAUGCUGGGUGUGGUGGUAGACAUCAUUAAUCUUCCCAGCCUGGAGGUAGAGGCAGGUGGAUCUCUUGAAUUCAAAGCGGUCCUAGUCUACAGAGUUCCAGGACAGCUAGGGCCCAAUAGUGAGACCUUGGCUCAAAAAGAGUCUGGGGGUUGGGGAAUGGCUGUAGACUUGCUUAGUGGCUAAAAACCCUGGUUCUUUCAAAGGACCCAGGUAUGAUUUGUCGCACCCAUAUGUCUGCUCGAAACCUUCUAUGACUCUAGUUCCAAAAGUCUGACAUCCCCAUCUGGCCUCCAAGGGCACGAGGCACCAAGGUAGUUCAUACAUGUUUAUACAUACAGGCAAAAUACCCAUACACAUAAAAGAAAAGGAAAAAAAAUAGAUGAUAGGUUAAUAUGGUUCUUGCUUGCCAUUCGAGAACCUACGCUCAUCCUUAGCACCCACAUUUGACGGCCUGUAAUUAUAGUUCCAAUGCUGGAGAAAUGGAGACAGGCAAAUCCCACAGGGCUUACUAGUCACUCCUGACGAGUUUCAGAUUUGAAAAGCAAGGUGGGGCUGGAGAGAUGGCUCAGCGGUUAAGAGCACCCGACUACUCUUCCAGAGGUCCUGAGUUCAAUUCCCAGCAACCACAUGGUGGCUCACAACCAUCUGUAAAGAGACCCGAUCCCCUCUUCUGGUGUGUCUGAAGUCAGCUACAGUGUACUUAUAUAUAAUAAAUGAAUAAAAUCUUAAAAAAAAAAAAAAAAAAAGAAAAGCAAGGUGGAGGACUCCCAAAGAACAAUAAAGAAAGUUAAUUCUCCAUCAUCCUUGUCUUAGGAACUACUUGGCUCACGCUGAUCUAUUUCUAGAGUUUGUUGUAACAUCUCAGAAUCUAUCUGUUUUGAUUUGACCCAUCGAUGUCUUACUUUUCUUAUUCUGUUACUCCCACAAACUAUAAUAAAAUCAUGUUCUUUCUUAGAAAGAGGGAGAGGAAAAGGGAGAGGGGAAGAGAGAGAGAGAGAUUCAAAAAUAAGUGUUAGUUUGUCCUCAUUUUAGAUUUCAAUAUAGAAGCUGCAUUAUCAUUAAUCUGAAAAUACUGGGCACGGUAGCAUCACCCGUAGUCCCAUUAGUUGAGAGACUGAGGCAAAAUAAUCACAGUCAGUUGGAAUACACAGUUCCAGGCUACUGUGGGCUAGAGUGAGACCCUGCCUAAAAAAACAAAACACAAACAAAACCAAAACAAAACAGACAACAACAAAAACCAGAGUUUUUUGUUUUGUUUUUUGAUACAAGUGUGUGUAAUGGUACAAUCUUUUAUCUCAGGAGGCAGGAGGGUCAGGAGUUCAAGGUCAUUGAGCUCCAGGCCAGCCUGAACUACUUGAGUGAGACUCGGUCUUUCAAAAUAAAGCUUUGACUCAGUAAGAUCUUAAAACUUCAAAAGUGCUAUCGAUCUGCUCACAACUUCACGGAAACCCAGCACAGCUGCCUGCCUCUUAACGCCGCAGGAUGGGCAGGGGAGGCCCCGUAGCUCUUUCUUUCCGGGGGGCUGCGGGAAAGCCCGGAGCGCCCCUCGGCGGCCGGAUCAGCAGCGGAGCAGGUCCUACUUUUCGAGCAGGCGGCUCGGCAGGGCGCAGUGCGGAACCGGCACUUAGGCCUCCUCUGCAGCCCGCUCUCCUUGCCCAGGCCGGGCUGCCGGCUACGCGUGGGAUCCUAGGCCAGGAGCCGCGGCCCCGGGGCUGUCCUCGCCUCACCCCACUCUGCCCCUUCGGUAUUUCUCAAUGACCGGCGCUCGAGGACACUUCCGACGCGGGGGAGGGGUGCCACUCGCGCGGGUUUAUCAGUUCCUUCCGGCCGCGCCCCGGCCGCUGCAGCGCCUGCAUCACUACGCUCGGGCGAGCAGCCGCGGGUACCCGCUGUGCCAAGGGAGCCCUGGACAGUGCAGACGUAGUGAGAGGCGCCGCGGCCCUGCUGGGUGAAUGGCUCGGGCCCAUUGCACAAUCUCCGGUAUAAUUAGCCAAGGGCGGCGGUGCAGGGCUCAUCCCCCAGGCGGCACACUCCAGGAUCAUUUUCCCUUUCGGUUGCAUAGCCGGGAUUUUUAUUAAACAGACGAAAAGCCUCCGCCCCGCCUCCCUCCACGCGGGUGCAAGUAUUAUGAAUGAAACGCCAACCCCGCUGCGGCUGAGGUCGCCACUUCAGGAGGCAAGAGGAUUGCAAAUUGGAUCUUGUCAGAGUGUCAGAAACAGAGGAGAGGAGACAGAGAGAAAUCCUCCCCUAACAAUUGCAGAGGAUCAGAAUUUCUGAGUCAGGCUGGGUAUGUGGCCCAAUUAGUAGAGUGCAUUGUAGCAUUUAUUGUGAUAGUGUGCAUGAAGCCCUAGCUAGCUUCGACUCCCCAGCUCCUCAUUAAUCCCGCCUGUAACCUCAAGGUUAUUCUCACCUACACCGUUUUGAGAGACACGGGAGUCCUUAAUGUUUUCACAAAACAAAUGAAAACAAAUGAAGACAAAUUAAUUCAGAAACCGCAGUAACUGAAGCUAGGAGCCAUGUCCACAGUUGAAUGAAUUUUAAAUCUUGCUCUUUAAAUCUUGCUUUUUUGUGUAUUUAACAAGCAUGUGAAGGAAACCCUGCCACUGCCUCCCCACCCCAGCCCCCCUUCCCUGUUUUGGCAGCGUCUCUAUGUAGCCUUGGUUGGCCUGCAGCUCGGCCUGCUUCUGCCUCUUGAGUGCUGGGAUCAAAGGCAUGCAUUACCACAUAGGCAGAGAAAAACUUCAUUCUAAAAUUUAAAACCUAAUUUUUUCCUCCUCCUCUUCCUCUUCCUCCUCCUCCUCCUCCUCCUCUUCCUCCUCCUCCUUCUUCUUCUUCUCUCUCUCUCUCUCUCUCUCUGUCUCUCUCUGUUGUUGUUGUUGUUGUUUGGGUUUGUUUUUUUUUUUUUAUUUGUGUUUGUUUUCCAGACAAGAUUCCUCUGUGUAGCCCUGGCUAUCCUCAAACUCAUUUGGUAGACCAGACUGGCCUUGAACUCAGAGCUCUGCCUACCUCUGCCUCGUGAAUACUGGAAUUGCAAGUAUACAGGACCACUUCUGGGCUCAGCUAGAUUUCUUUUUUGCAGAUAUGAACUGGUAUGUUUGUGAAGACGAAACGGAGAGAAGUCUAGGGUGCUGGUUCAGCAUUCUACCACAAGCAAUGUCUCUCAUUUCUCCUCCACACAUCAUAACAUAAAUAAAAGAAACAAGCCCAGGAGCUUGUUUUGUCCAGCA